CAUAAUAGCAUUGUGAGACUGAACAAUAGGACCCAACGUAUUGUUCAGUCUCACAAUGCUAUUGGGUGGUACAUUUGUUUAGUCCCUCCUUAUGGCCAUGAACUCACACAACCUCACAAGGUUUCCUUCAAACAAUAUCUCUUUGUUUUAUUGGACUGUAUUCAUCAGAUUCAAAAUGCCACCAGCAAGGACAGAGCCGCGAUACAGUGUACAGGAUGUGAUUGAUAUUAUCCAAACUGGAGAGAGUGAAGUUGAGAUGGAUCUCGAUGACUCUGAUGAGACUGAUAAAGACUCAGAUGAAGAUGUCUGUCAACAAGUGGACAAAGAAAACUGUCUGGAUAUCACAGGAGAUGACAUUUCCCUCCACACACUAUUGGAAUACUUCCAGAAGUUUGUGUCCAGGACAUGAUUGAGGCUCUGACACAAAACACAAAUGAGUACAGCUUUCAGACACAUGGAACAUCUGUAAACACCACUGCGAAGGAAACUGAAAAAAUGUUUGGCAUGUACCUGAAGAUGGGCCUGGUACAAAUGGCUGGAACCCGUAUGUAUUGGGAGACAGAGACACGGUACUCCCCUGUUGACGUCAUUACAUUUUGUAAACAACAUGACAGUAUCUGAGAUGGAAAAGAAAGACAAACUAUGGAAACUCAGACCAUGGUUUGAUUCAUUCAGAGAGAAAUGCCUGCAGUUGGUACCAGAAGAGCAUGAUGAUUCCUUUCAAGGGGAAAGCCAAAUAUAAGUUCCCCAUCAAAUCCUGUCUCUGGUACAUGUACAUCUUAUAAACACUUAAAAAUAAAAAAACACACACUUUAAUUUCUGCAUCAAAGGCCUCCUACAAUAACAUCUGAAAGAUAAAAUCAUUUUUUCUUCUGGGUUUUUCUCUAUUUGGGUUAAACAGGGUUAAAAUCUUUAUACAUUUUAUAAUAAAAAUAUUAUAAACUGAUUUAAUCUCUUUAGUGUUGAUCGUGGUUCUCGUCCUCCUUCACUGUACGACACCCAGGUCUUCCUCAGCUCCGACCCCGAUAACUUUAAUGGAUGUGUUCACUCGUCGACUGUCUCAAGGACGUAAACUGACGAUACAACUGAUAUAAAAACAGCAUCAAGGACUUUAACAGGUAUCAGAAAACAAGAACACACAGCACUGAUGUUAGUGUGAGAGUGGAUUUAAAGUUUAAUUAUCACUUUUAAGAACUGGAAUGAGUUACAGUUUAUCUCCGACCUCUUAUGUGACCCCGAGGUCCUCAAAUGCUGCGUUCAGGUUCCCAAAACCAGAGUUAUAAUCAGAGGAGAUCAGGAAGGAAAAUUCACUUCAUUAAAACAACACUUUUAUAACAA
Long non-coding RNA from Dicentrarchus labrax (European seabass), 1338 nucleotides. RefSeq lists it as uncharacterized. The transcript is spliced from 2 exons. The record is from RefSeq and is a predicted model, not a curated record. Lineage: Eukaryota; Metazoa; Chordata; Actinopteri; Moronidae.